GCUCGGGUGGUGGAACUGGCAGACACGUACGUUUGAGGGGCGUAUGCCGAAAGGCUUGCGGGUUCGAGUCCCGCCCCGAGCACGA
This 85-nucleotide transfer RNA is filed under the name Verrucomicrobiota bacterium. RNAcentral describes it as "Verrucomicrobia bacterium tRNA-Leu". It matches the Rfam family "tRNA". From Rfam's summary of the family: Transfer RNA (tRNA) molecules are approximately 80 nucleotides in length. Their secondary structure includes four short double-helical elements and three loops (D, anti-codon, and T loops). Lineage: Bacteria; Pseudomonadati; Verrucomicrobiota. The record is from RNAcentral.